CGCCCACCUCAGCAGCACUAAAAGUGCAACAAUACAGAGGAGACUGGCAUGGCCCCUGCACAAGAUGGCACGCAAAUUUAUGAAGUGUUCCGUACUUAA
RNAcentral lists this small nuclear RNA (99 nucleotides) under Mus pahari (shrew mouse). The record is from RNAcentral. Lineage: Eukaryota; Metazoa; Chordata; Mammalia; Rodentia; Muridae.